UACAGAGACUGCGAGCGUUAUUCGGAUUCACUGGGCGUAAAGCGUGCGCAGGCGGUUGUGUAAGACAGAUGUGAAAUCCCCGGGCUCAACCUGGGAACUGCAUCUGUGACUGCAUCGCUGGAGUACGGUAGAGGGGGAUGGAAUUCCGCGUGUAGCAGUGAAAUGCGUAGAUAUGCGGAGGAACACCGAUGGCGAAGGCAAUCCCCUGGACCUGUACUGACGCUCAUGCACGAAAGCGUGGGGAGCAAACAGG
RNAcentral lists this ribosomal RNA (253 nucleotides) under uncultured bacterium. Its description in RNAcentral is "partial 16S ribosomal RNA". It matches the Rfam family "Bacterial small subunit ribosomal RNA", at positions 524 to 776 of the family's 1533-position model. The record is from RNAcentral.